Molecule: ribosomal RNA, 510 nt
Filed under: uncultured microorganism
Description: bacterial SSU rRNA
Rfam family: Bacterial small subunit ribosomal RNA
Source: RNAcentral
GAGUUUGAUCUUGGCUCAGAUUGAACGCUGGCGGCAGGCCUAACACAUGCAAGUCGAGCGGAUGAAGGGAGCUUGCUCCUGGAUUCAGCGGCGGACGGGUGAGUAAUGCCUAGGAAUCUGCCUGGUAGUGGGGGAUAACGUCCGGAAACGGGCGCUAAUACCGCAUACGUCCUGAGGGAGAAAGUGGGGGAUCUUCGGACCUCACGCUAUCAGACGAGCCUAGGUCGGAUUAGCUAGUUGGUGGGGUAAAGGCCUACCAAGGCGACGAUCCGUAACUGGUCUGAGAGGAUGAUCAGUCACACUGGAACUGAGACACGGUCCAGACUCCUACGGGAGGCAGCAGUGGGGAAUAUUGGACAAUGGGCGAAAGCCUGAUCCAGCCAUGCCGCGUGUGUGAAGAAGGUCUUCGGAUUGUAAAGCACUUUAAGUUGGGAGGAAGGGCAGUAAGUUAAUACCUUGCUGUUUUGACGUUACCAACAGAAUAAGCACCGGCUAACUUCGUGCCAGCCG